CGCAUCGCAGGCUCCACAGCAUGCUGCUGUGCCUUAGAAAACAUUGAGAUUGUAAUUUCCAAGUUGUGCAGGCGAAUAGCCCGCAUGGCGUGCUAUAUUGCGAUGUAGCAAAGGGCGCGAAAGCAUGAUUUAUUCAACCACUCUUGGAUAAUUCCCACAUAUACAUGAAUUUGGCAUAUGUGCUGCUCACAUGAUUAGGCUUGGAAUGUAGGAAAUUGUUGGAUCACGUCAUAUAUCCUUAAUCUUACAAGGAUUAGGAUUAACAUAUUAUAUAUAUAUAUAUAUAUAUAAUCCUUGUUAGGCAAAA
This 307-nucleotide long non-coding RNA is filed under the name Capsicum annuum. RNAcentral describes it as "long non-coding RNA (CANN_LNC019313)". Lineage: Eukaryota; Viridiplantae; Streptophyta; Magnoliopsida; Solanales; Solanaceae. The record is from RNAcentral.